CACGUAGGGUGCGAGCGUUGUCCGGAAUUAUUGGGCGUAAAGAGCUCGUAGGCGGUGUGUCGCGUCGGCCGUGAAAACCUGGGGCUUAACUCUGGGCUUGCGGUCGAUACGGGCAUCACUGGAGUUCGGCAGGGGAGACUGGAAUUCCUGGUGUAGCGGUGAAAUGCGCAGAUAUCAGGAGGAACACCGGUGGCGGAGGCGGGUCUCUGGGCCGAUACUGACGCUGAGGAGCGAAAGCAUGGGUAGCGAACAGG
RNAcentral lists this ribosomal RNA (254 nucleotides) under uncultured bacterium. RNAcentral describes it as "partial 16S ribosomal RNA". It matches the Rfam family "Bacterial small subunit ribosomal RNA", at positions 524 to 776 of the family's 1533-position model. The record is from RNAcentral.